RNAcentral lists this transfer RNA (72 nucleotides) under Microcaldota archaeon. Its description in RNAcentral is "tRNA-Val". It matches the Rfam family "tRNA". From Rfam's summary of the family: Transfer RNA (tRNA) molecules are approximately 80 nucleotides in length. The record is from RNAcentral. Lineage: Archaea; Nanobdellati; Microcaldota.
GGGCCCGUGGUCCAGUGGUUAAGACGCCAGCUUUACACGCUAGAAACAGGAGUUCGAUUCUCCUCGGGCCCA